Molecule: ribosomal RNA, 407 nt
Filed under: uncultured bacterium
Lineage: Bacteria
Description: partial 16S ribosomal RNA
Rfam family: Bacterial small subunit ribosomal RNA
Source: RNAcentral
UGGGGAAUAUUGCACAAUGGGCGAAAGCCUGAUGCAGCGACGCCGCGUGAGGGAUGACGGCCUUCGGGUUGUAAACCUCUUUCAGUAGGGAAGAAGCGAAAGUGACGGUACCUGCAGAAGAAGCACCGGCUAACUACGUGCCAGCAGCCGCGGUAAUACGUAGGGUGCGAGCGUUAUCCGGAAUUAGUGGGCGUAAAGAGCUCGUAGGCGGUUUGUCGCGUCUGUCGUGAAAGUCCGGGGCUUAACCCCGGAUCUGCGGUGGGUACGGGCAGACUAGAGUGCAGUAGGGGAGACUGGAAUUCCUGGUGUAGCGGUGGAAUGCGCAGACAUCAGGAGGAACACCGAUGGCGAAGGCAGGUCUCUGGGCUGUAACUGACGCUGAGGAGCGAAAGCAUGGGGAGCGAACA